AUGAACGCUGGCGGCGUGCCUAAUACAUGCAAGUCGAGCGAACAGACGAGGAGCUUGCUCCUCUGACGUUAGCGGCGGCCGGGUGAGUAACACGUGGAUAACCUACCUAUAAGACUGGGAUAACUUCGGGAAACCGGAGCUAAUACCGGAUAAUAUAUUGAACCGCAUGGUUCAAUAGUGAAAGACGGUUUUGCUGUCACUUAUAGAUGGAUCCGCGCCGCAUUAGCUAGUUGGUAAGGUAACGGCUUACCAAGGCAACGAUGCGUAGCCGACCUGAGAGGGUGAUAGGCCACACUGGAACUGAGACACGGUCCAGACUCCUACGGGAGGCAGCAGUAGGGAAUCUUCCGCAAUGGGCGAAAGCCUGACGGAGCAACGCCGCGUGAGUGAUGAAGGUCUUCGGAUCGUAAAACUCUGUUAUUAGGGAAGAACAAAUGUGUAAGUAACUAUGCACGUCUUGACGGUACCUAAUCAGAAAGCCACGGCUAACUACGUG
RNAcentral lists this ribosomal RNA (496 nucleotides) under uncultured bacterium. Its description in RNAcentral is "partial 16S ribosomal RNA". It matches the Rfam family "Bacterial small subunit ribosomal RNA", at positions 29 to 507 of the family's 1533-position model. The record is from RNAcentral.